CAAUUUUCUCUUCAACCAUCUGCUAUAAACAAUUGAGAGAGACCCUAAAUUCAUGAAAUCCCACCGCCUCCGCCCCUACACCGUGAAUCGGUGAUUUUCAGCCACCACACUUCGAGAAUCGGCGAUUUUCGGCCAACGCUAUGCCGUGAAUCGGCGAUAUGUGCUAAUUUCAGGAAUUCCAAACGCCUCUACGACGUGCAUUCAAAAAUUCAUCAAACCUGCAGCCACUAAACAGCAAAAUCAGUCCACAACUACAUGGUUUUAGGUUUUUUCGUUGGUGUUGAUCGGAAUAGCGGGAGAACAAUUAUAAUGGUAAGGAAAAGAAUGAUAAGGAUAGAGUCGGAUGAGGAAGAGGCUUAACAGAGCAUUAGUAGAAGGAACAUGGACGAGGAGGAGGAGGUUGAAGCGAGCCAUAGUCGAAGGAUAUGGAUGAGGAAGAGGUUGAACAAAGCGGGAACAGAAUGAAUGUACAGAGUCUGUACAACACAGUAUGAGAGAGAGUGAAGCAAGAUGUUUAGUGUUGGAGAACAAGAAAGGACCGAUAGAUGUUGAGAAGAUGGUCGUUGACUACCAUAAAUCAUGACCAAUGAAUGAAAUCUUGGUGUUUUUGAACAUGAAUUCUGAUUUGGUUGAUGUUUUUUCUUAGUAACUUCUCGUACUGAAACAUGGAGGUUAUAUUUUGGUCUAGACAAUGUUGGUGACAUAAUUUAAAUUGGCAUUUUUUUGUA
Molecule: non-coding RNA, 728 nt
Organism: Salvia hispanica
Lineage: Eukaryota; Viridiplantae; Streptophyta; Magnoliopsida; Lamiales; Lamiaceae
Source: RefSeq, a predicted model, not a curated record